CAGUAGCCGCGGUAAUACGAAGGGGGCUAGCGUUGUUCGGAUUUACUGGGCGUAAAGCGCACGUAGGCGGAUUGAUCAGUCAGGGGUGAAAUCCCAGAGCUCAACUCUGGAACUGCCUUUGAUACUGUCGAUCUGGAGUAUGGAAGAGGUGAGUGGAAUUCCGAGUGUAGAGGUGAAAUUCGUAGAUAUUCGGAGGAACACCAGUGGCGAAGGCGGCUCACUGGUCCAUUACUGACGCUGAGGUGCGAAAGCGUGGGGAGCAAACAGGAUUAGAUACCCCAGUAGUCCCUGUCUCUUAUAA
RNAcentral lists this ribosomal RNA (301 nucleotides) under uncultured bacterium. RNAcentral's name for it is "partial 16S ribosomal RNA". It matches the Rfam family "Bacterial small subunit ribosomal RNA", at positions 509 to 809 of the family's 1533-position model. The record is from RNAcentral.